UACGUAGGUGGCGAGCGUUGUCCGGAUUUACUGGGCGUAAAGGGAGCGUAGGCGGACUUUUAAGUGAGAUGUGAAAUACCCGGGCUUAACUUGGGUGCUGCAUUUCAAACUGGAAGUCUAGAGUGCAGGAGAGGAGAAUGGAAUUCCUAGUGUAGCGGUGAAAUGCGUAGAGAUUAGGAAGAACACCAGUGGCGAAGGCGAUUCUCUGGACUGUAACUGACGCUGAGGCUCGAAAGCGUGGGGAGCAAACAGGAUUAGAUACCCCUGUA
This 269-nucleotide ribosomal RNA is filed under the name uncultured prokaryote. RNAcentral describes it as "partial 16S ribosomal RNA". It matches the Rfam family "Bacterial small subunit ribosomal RNA", at positions 524 to 792 of the family's 1533-position model. The record is from RNAcentral.